GAUGAACGCUGGCGGCGUGCCUAAUACAUGCAAGUCGAGCGAAUGGAUUAAGAGCUUGCUCUUAUGAAGUCAGCGGCGGACGGGUGAGUAACACGUGGGUAACCUGCCCAUAAGACUGGGAUAACUCCGGGAAACCGGGGCUAAUACCGGAUAACAUUUUGAACCGCAUGGUUCGAAAUUGAAAGGCGGCUUCGGCUGGCACUUAUGGAUGGACCCGCGUCGCAUUAGCUAGUUGGUGAGGUAACGGCUCACCAAGGCAACGAUGCGUAGCCGACCUGAGAGGGUGAGCGGCCACACUGGGACUGAGACACGGCCCAGACUCCUACGGGAGGCAGCAGUAGGGAAUCUUCCGCAAUGGACGAAAGUCUGGCGGAGCAACGCCGCGUGAGUGAUGAAGGCUUUCGGGUCGUAAAACUCUGUUGUUAGGGAAGAACAAGUGCUAGUUGAAUAAGCUGGCACCUUGACGGUACCUAACCAGAAAGCCACGGCUAACUACGUGCCAGCCGCCGCCGUAA
RNAcentral lists this ribosomal RNA (515 nucleotides) under uncultured bacterium. Its description in RNAcentral is "partial 16S ribosomal RNA". It matches the Rfam family "Bacterial small subunit ribosomal RNA", at positions 28 to 523 of the family's 1533-position model. The record is from RNAcentral.